RNAcentral lists this ribosomal RNA (253 nucleotides) under uncultured bacterium. RNAcentral's name for it is "partial 16S ribosomal RNA". It matches the Rfam family "Bacterial small subunit ribosomal RNA", at positions 524 to 776 of the family's 1533-position model. The record is from RNAcentral.
UACGAAGGGGGCUAGCGUUGUUCGGAUUUACUGGGCGUAAAGCGCACGUAGGCGGAUCGUUAAGUCGGGGGUGAAAUCCUGGAGCUCAACUCCAGAACUGCCUUCGAUACUGGCGAUCUUGAGUCCGGAAGAGGUGAGUGGAAUUCCUGGUGUAGCGGUGAAAUGCGCAGAUAUCAGGAAGAACACCAAUGGCGAAGGCAGCUCUCUGGGACGGUACUGACACUGAGACGCGAAAGCGUGGGGAGCGAACAGG